UACGUAGGGGGCUAGCGUUAUCCGGAAUUACUGGGCGUAAAGGGUGCGUAGGUGGUUUCUUAAGUCAGAGGUGAAAGGCUACGGCUCAACCGUAGUAAGCCUUUGAAACUGGGAAACUUGAGUGCAGGAGAGGAGAGUGGAAUUCCUAGUGUAGCGGUGAAAUGCGUAGAUAUUAGGAGGAACACCAGUUGCGAAGGCGGCUCUCUGAACUGUAACUGACACUGAGGCACGAAAGCGUGGGGAGCAAACAGGAUUAGAUACUCGGGUAGUCCCUGAGCGGG
Molecule: ribosomal RNA, 281 nt
Filed under: uncultured prokaryote
Description: partial 16S ribosomal RNA
Rfam family: Bacterial small subunit ribosomal RNA
Source: RNAcentral